AAAUAAAAAGAAAGCGUGAAACUAGAAAAAACCCAAGUGACUAAGCUGCCUCCAAAGUUCGAAAAUGUCACGCUUCUCAAAUUUAAAAGAAAGAAAAUUUCAUACGUCUCUUUCAAAUUUAACAAUGCAUGUGCACCUAAAAAAAAUAUAAAUAAAUCACCGUGUUGCUUCUUUAAUUAAAUCAAUUGCACCGCUUGCAGAUUCUCCCUUUGCCAAAUGAAUAAACGCCCAAAAUAAAAAAAAAAAAAAAAAAAACAGCAACUCCUUCUUUC
Molecule: long non-coding RNA, 272 nt
Filed under: Vigna radiata
Lineage: Eukaryota; Viridiplantae; Streptophyta; Magnoliopsida; Fabales; Fabaceae
Description: long non-coding RNA (VRAD_LNC007902)
Source: RNAcentral